Molecule: long non-coding RNA, 907 nt
Organism: Chenopodium quinoa (quinoa)
Lineage: Eukaryota; Viridiplantae; Streptophyta; Magnoliopsida; Caryophyllales; Amaranthaceae
Exons: 4
Source: RefSeq, a predicted model, not a curated record
CAGUGAUAUUAAAUACUCCGUAUGAAAAUGCGCUUAAAUUUUGAAAAUCCCUCUGAUUUUUAAUAAAAUUUGGUGAGUCACUAUUUGGAGGACGGUGAGGACCCUCUUUACUUAUUUUCUCUCUCUUCCGCUCAUUUUCUCUCUCCUAUCUCUCUUUCUUUCCUCCAUUGAAGCGGCGUACUCUGGUCUUUAUUUCCUCCAUUGAAGCUGAGUUGAGAUGGAGGGAGAUCUAGUAUGCUUCACCAGACCACCGCUGCACCGCACCACCAAAAGUCAGUGCCACCAACGCCGCCACACCUCCUAGCCGACACCACUAACACAACUGACACCGCAAGGGGUUUGGGUAUAUAGCUUUCAAUUAUUAUUCAUGAGCUAAUCAGUUUUCAACGAUAAGCACUGACUUAAAUUAGGAUGAUGUAAACUGUUUCCUGAGCACAUCAAUGAUUGGUAUAUUUCUACAUUAUGAUGAUUGAUGAAUAACUACUAACUCUCAAGCACGACAAAGGGAUAUGCGUACUUGUGAAACCGUUAAUUUGAUGCUAGCUUAAAGUCACCAAUAAUAGGUACUUUGUUCCAUUUACGUGAGCUCCUGUGCAGCUAAAAGGCUUUGGUCAUUGCUCAUCGACAUGAUCUACAGUUGUGAUGGCUGGGAGAGUACUGUUCGUAGAAGCUGGUAGGUUGCACGACAUUGAGUAGACGACUAAGGAUAAAAGGGGCCAAUUAUAGAGUUUCAACAAAUUAUGAAGAAACACCUGCUUAAGUUUUUCAUACUAUUAGCUCAAACUUAUGUCAAAAUUAUGUUAUAAGGAAUAUACAUGUAGUUAUAGGUGUUAUUUGAACUUGUAAAUUUUUUUUAAGUGCGACAUUAUAUUUAUGUACUCUUAAAUUUUUAAAUCCAAUAAUAUUU